Molecule: transfer RNA, 76 nt
Filed under: Corynebacterium pseudotuberculosis
Lineage: Bacteria; Bacillati; Actinomycetota; Actinomycetes; Mycobacteriales; Corynebacteriaceae
Description: tRNA-Lys
Source: RNAcentral
UGAAGGAGUAAAGUGCCAAACGCACCAGCAAAUGGUGAUGGGCCUUUAGCUCAGCUGGUAGAGCUACGGACUUUUA